CGACGUGAAUCGCCAUUGGCAUUCCAUUAUUAUUGUUAAACGUAUAUAUAAUAUAGUGUUCUGAUCGCUACUGCCUGGUGGAAGCCUAUAGUCACCUCUUAUCUUUUAACACAGUCAUAAAUUGUCAGUUAGGCCUAGCCUCAAAUCAUUUUGUAAGGAUGCCAAUAACUAAAAGGAAAAUACAGAGAAAAAUUAAGAUCUUUUCACCUAAUGGAAACAGAACUGUGACAAUACAUUAUAGAAGACCAGGAAGUGAUCUACAACAAAAUAGAGUAUCUGCAAAUAUUCCAACCACAUCUACAGACAACUUGCCUAUUAAUAUUCCCAAUGAGUUUAACACAGAGGAAACACCAUCCACCUCUACAUCCUCAAGUAACAAUUAUCAAAAGAAAAAACAGCAGACUUUUGAUAAUUGGUCAAAGAUUAAAGAUCCUUUAAUCGACAUUCAUAUUGAGGAGUUAAGUCCUCCAACAUUCGAAUGUCAGUUCUGUUUGCGUCAUGAUGAGAACAUCAUCUUUUGCUUUGAUUGUGGACCCUUGGCAUUCUAUUGUUCAGAUUGUUGCAUCAAGGUCCACAAGACAGUUUGUUUGCAUUCUCCACAACAAUGGCAGGGUGAAAUAUAUGUCCCGUUCAAUUUACCAGCUUGUAUAUACAAACGAUUGGAUAAACAUGAAUGUGAAUCACAGUAUAUCUCACCUAUAUAUGUUGUAGAUGUGAAGGG
This is a long non-coding RNA of Patella vulgata (common limpet), 721 nucleotides long. RefSeq lists it as uncharacterized. Lineage: Eukaryota; Metazoa; Mollusca; Gastropoda; Patellidae. The transcript is spliced from 4 exons. The record is from RefSeq and is a predicted model, not a curated record.